RNAcentral lists this long non-coding RNA (308 nucleotides) under Elaeis guineensis (African oil palm). Its description in RNAcentral is "long non-coding RNA (EGUI_LNC040122)". Lineage: Eukaryota; Viridiplantae; Streptophyta; Magnoliopsida; Arecales; Arecaceae. The record is from RNAcentral.
GCUUCGGAGACCGAGUUUGGAGGAGAGAAACUGAAAUCACCCCUGCCUGAGCUAGAGUCGGGUUGACCACUCUCUUGUCACUCUCUCCUAAAGUCUUGGGCUUUUUCUAAGCAUUGGUGGAUGAAGAGGGCACCUUCCUCUUCAACAAACCUCUUAUCAGCCUCUUCACUUCUUCAGGCUUCAUUUCUGCAAUAAAAGAGGAGUCAACAUCUAUAAAAACAAGAAGAACAAGCAUAGGAAAGAUUAGAGAAAUCCUCACCUUCGGAUUCAAUCGGACUGAUGCCAACAUUGAAGAGAGCUUGCUCCGA